This is a small nucleolar RNA of Liolophura sinensis, 223 nucleotides long. RefSeq annotates it as small nucleolar RNA SNORD17. The transcript has a single exon. The record is from RefSeq and is a predicted model, not a curated record. NCBI's taxonomy places the organism in Eukaryota, Metazoa, Mollusca, Polyplacophora, Chitonida, Chitonidae.
GUGAAAUGAUGCAAACUGCUAAUCCAUUCUCUUAGUUUUGAUGGUCCCACCCCUGGGUAGCACCUCUCGGUGUGAUGGGACAGGUAUGGCUCAGACCUGCUGGUCAGGUUCUCUGGUCAGCUGGGGAUGGGCUGUGCUGAUCUCUACCCCAGGGGCUGGGACAGUCAGGGAGACUGGCCUACUUGUCUCUUGAACCAAUGACGAGGGCAGAUUUUCUGAUCAC